Cyprinus carpio (common carp) is the source of this 872-nucleotide long non-coding RNA. RefSeq lists it as uncharacterized. Lineage: Eukaryota; Metazoa; Chordata; Actinopteri; Cypriniformes; Cyprinidae. The record is from RefSeq and is a predicted model, not a curated record. The transcript has 3 exons.
UGUUGGUUAUUGUUAGGUGUUACAAUCACAAUCAUCGGAUUACUAAUCACCACCACCUGCAGCCACUUCCCUUCACCACAUAAAAGACAGUUGACUACAUUCAGUCACUGGCUGGUGUCAAGGUUGCUCACCUACCUAUACCGAUCUGCUUUUUGGACUUACCUGUCUGGAUUACCUCUCAGGUUACUGUCUUCCAUUUCUAUGACUGGACUAGUGUGCUCAAUCUAAUCUGCCCAGCUAAGGAAGUUGUGACAGAAGACCAGCCCAUCAACACGAAACAAUAUGGAAACCCGGGAUCCAGUCGCCUCAAAUGAUGACUCAACCAGAAGUACCCUCCUCCUCCCAUGAUCGACACCAACAAAACCAUCUUCAGAGACAAAGAGAUCUUAGACUCCCAGUGGCGGGGCUGCCAUCUCCAGUACCUGUUAGAUUGGGAGGGGUACAGCCCGAGAUAAAAUCAUGGGUGCAUGGAGACGACUUCGUGGAUCCUUCACUUCUCAACGACUUUUAUAUGCUCCACCUGGACCGGCCUGCUCCCAGAGGCAACAGUUGUCCUCGCCAUCAGUCACGGACAUCAGGAGACGCCCGUGGGACAGGGAGUACUGUCAUGGAUCCACCAACCACGCCACACACAUACUGUACACCCGAUAACAAUCACCUGAUUACUAAUCGCCACCAACUGCAAUCACUUCUCUUCACCACAUAAAAUACUUACCUGUCUGGAUUACCCCUCGGAUUACCUUCUUCCAUUUGGGUGUUUCUAUGACUGAACUAGUGUGCUCCAUCCAGUCUGCCCAGCUAAGGAAAGUAAAAGACUGUUAUGCCAGUUUUUGCAUCACUCAUGACUGCCUAUGUUAAUGCUUAUCACUGGA